GAGCUGCCUUAAAACUUCAUUCAUAUUCGCGUAAAUCAAGCAACAAACGAGAGUAGUAUCAAAACUAUACAAUUCCUAUGAACAGAGUACGGUGACAAUCUCCAUUGAAGGAGAAAGCAAAUGACUAAAAGUUUUGUGUUUCAACGAACUUCCAUCUAUGAGCAGUAAUGGGGGAGAAACUCAACAAGAUUACAAGAUCCCGAUUUUUACCUAAACUCUUAGAAACCACUCCCUUUUUACUCUAAGAGAUGUAUGGAAUCACCUGCAAAAUCAAGGGCAAAGAAGAGGAUAUGUUGGCACCUGAAAGACCAGAGACUGAUGUUGUCGUCGUCUCUCAAUGCAAGCUUCAAGACAGGCAGCUUGUUUUAACACAUUGCCAUUUGCUUGAUCGUCUAACUUCUUUUGCUGGGCAGCUCUUAGGAAGGUGAAGGAUUCAAAUUCCUUGAUACUUGUCUACAUCAAACCUAGGAGCUGAUCUGAAGUAGCUAUUCCAGCCAAAAUGAAAAACAAAAAUGAGAAAGAAGCAAAAUUUGCAUAAAAGUAAACUGCAGAAGAAGUGAAGAAGAAGUGAAGAAGAUUCGUGGUACAAAAUUUACAGGAAUGAGUUUUACCGAUUAGUGUCUGAGCUUGGUUUCUCAAUGAAUAAUGAGUUUAGCUAUGGUGAACCUCCGCGUAUUCAAGGAACAAAAUUAACUUGAUAGUUAUUAUAUAAUCCUUUAGAAAACGCAAUCAGAUGAAUUUGAAUAACAAGCAAUUUCCAGAAUCUAAAGAUUUGAUGAAGUCAAAACGAAAUACCCAUUUCCAUAAUCUGAUGUCAAAAUGCCCAUCACAUCAUCAACAUCUCGAGCUGAAUUCGAUCUUUGAGCCAGUUUCAAUCCAUCUUUCACGACACCAAACACCAACAAAAUUGAAAGCUUUCGAGAUUACCUUAUCCUUAUUUGUAGGGGUGGAGGAAGAAGGUGACGAAGCGAGCCGGAGUAAUUUAGUGACGAAGCGAGAUGGAGCAGUUCAGUUACUCUGCCAAUCGCCCAUUUCAGAAUAGCCGGUGUUCUCUUCUCCGGCGAAUCAGAGAAGCUUCUCGGCCGAUGACUAAUUUCUCUGCAAAACGAAACGACAACCUAUAACAAGCAAAACGCAUAGAAUAUCAAAUGAUGUUAUAAUGUUUAUGUAUCACUGGAGUUAAUUUGACGGGCGGUGACAUAAUAACAAAGGAUGUUAAUAAUGUUUUGUAUCACAGACGUUAAUUUGACGGCCUGUGACAUAUAGGAGACAUGCUCCUAAAUGCUCAAAUUUGCUCAAAAUAAUGACAAAAACGACAACUGAAUAACAAGUAAAACGCAGCCUACUCGCUCA
RNAcentral lists this long non-coding RNA (1353 nucleotides) under Eutrema salsugineum. Its description in RNAcentral is "long non-coding RNA (ESAL_LNC001690)". The record is from RNAcentral. Lineage: Eukaryota; Viridiplantae; Streptophyta; Magnoliopsida; Brassicales; Brassicaceae.